Molecule: RNA transcript, 2812 nt
Organism: Mangifera indica (mango)
Lineage: Eukaryota; Viridiplantae; Streptophyta; Magnoliopsida; Sapindales; Anacardiaceae
Gene name: ABSCISIC ACID-INSENSITIVE 5-like protein 2
Exons: 4
Source: RefSeq, a predicted model, not a curated record
AUAAUAAAGAAAUAUCCAAUCACAUGAUAACAUCUCAUCUGUGUACACAAAUUGUAUACAAAAAAUAGGUAUACAUAGUUUUAUUGUUUUUGAAAUAUUAACAGAUUUUUAUCGUUCGACCAAUUCUCAUAAAGAUUAUUGUGGUUAACUCUAUAUUAAAAACGAAAAUGUAGAUGUAAAAAUUCCUUUCAACUUUCAUCCGCGUGACCACAAAAAAUCAUGACAAUGAAGAUUAACCAGAGAGAUUCAAACAGUAAACUUGACGUGUGACUUAAAGUGAAAUAGAAUGUUGGCCCGAGUGCUCACCAAAAAGAUUGGGAAACGUACGGUUGCUAUAAAAUUUGCAGUACAAUUGUUUUGUUUACUAUGCACGAGGACGUGGAAGAAGAGAAAAAGGCAAUUACUUUCACUUCCACUAUGUCAUACAUGAACUGAAACUUGCCAAGAUAUAUGUUUUUUAUUUACAAGCACCGUGGUCAGAAAGAAACCUUGGCAGUCGUGAAGUGUGAAGUUUCAAAAAAUAGUUAUAAUAUAUAGAGCAAGUUGGAAAUGGGAUUAUGGGAAUGUAGGCUGUUUUCUUUCUCCUUAAAAGUUUAAAAGUGUGUGUCCCCACUACCAGAAGAACAAAUGCCACUUUCAUAGAGUCAGAUCGGAUCCUGCGGCCAGUAAGUUACUGCCCACCUACUUGAUGUUAAUUUAAUUCCUUCUGUCAGACUCAGCUUAACCUUCUUAAUUCUAUAAUACAUUUUCUUUCUUUGUGGAAUUUUUUUCUUGUUUUUAUUAAUUAUGUAUUCUUACUUCUUCGCAGAGAAUGUAGGUUUAUUUAUGUUUUAGUGUUUUGUUCUUUUGUGGAUAAUGUUUGUUUUGGUUCCAUGCAAAAUGGCUUGAAGGAAUUGUAUUCCUUUUGGUUCUUGUCUUAUUUUAGUUGAUUCUUAAAUUGUUUUUUUUUUUUCAAAUAUUUGGUUGGUUUGUUUUGAUUGUUUCAUUGGUUUUGAGUAUUGGUACUGUUUCUUGCUAAGAUUGUUAUACUAGCUUUUGGUUUAUGGGCAUUUGGGUUUUGUCAUUUUUAUUAUUUGAUGUUUAGUUUGUUUUUAGUCUUGUGCUUUUGUUAUGCAUUAAUUUUUAGUCUUAAUCUCCGAAAAUAGAAAAUGUUAGUUCUUACUAUUACUGUUGUGUUGGCUUGAGAGUUAGAAUAGAAAGUUAUAAUAAUUCUUGCUUGAAAAUGUACUGAGAUUGGAAUGAUAGAUAUAUAGCUAUUUGCUGGUAAAUGGGGGCACAUACAAUGGGAUCUGAAGGUGUUGCAGCUCAAGGAGCAAAGUUGCAGUCUUUGACCAGACAAGGCUCAUUGUAUAGCCUCACGCUCAAUGAGAUUCAAACCCAGUUGGGGGAUAUGGGAAAACCACUGGGAAGUAUGAAUCUUGAUGAGCUUCUCAAGAGUGUCGGCACUGCUGAAGCUAAUCCGGUUAGAGAAACCACCAUUGACAAUGUCUGUGGCGUUGCCCCAGGCUCGUUGCUGCAUAGGCAGGGGAGCCUAACAUUGUCCAGGAAUCUUAGCAAGAAGACUGUUGACGAGGUGUGGAAAGAUAUUAAUCAGAAGAGUGAAAAUUAUCAGGAGAGAAAAGCUCAGGAAAGACAGGCUACUCUUGGUGAGAUAACACUCGAGGACUUCUUGAUAAAAGCUGGUGUGGCUGCUGAAUCUAUUGAUACAGUUGAAAAGAAUGCUGGCUAUAUAUGCGAGAUUGAUCACCGGCAAAAUAUUGCUCAAAAUGGUCAAUGGAUGCAGUACCAACUCCCUUCAGCGCAGCCGCAGCCACAUCAGAAUCUUACGGCUGUUCUUGUGCCAAACCACCCUAUGCAGCAAUCUCUUCCUGUCAUUGCUAAUCCAAAUUCAGACGCAGUGUAUCCUGAAAGCCAAGUGACCAUGUCACCAUCCGCUUUGAUAGGUACACUAUCUGAUACACAAGCAACAGGGAGGAAAAGGGUUGCUGCUGGAGAUGUUGCUGAAAAGACUGUGGAAAGGAAGCAGAAAAGAAUGAUUAAAAAUAGGGAGUCUGCAGCCAGAUCACGAGCAAGGAAGCAGGCCUAUACUCAUGAGUUAGAGAUCAAGGUCUCACAACUAGAGGAGGAAAAUGAAAGACUCAGAAAGCACAGGGCAGCGGAGUUCUUACAAUAUGCACCACCUCCGGAGCCCAAACACCAGCUCCGGCGAACAAUCUCAGCCCCUUUCUGACAUAAAACUCUGGAGUAAUGCAUUUUGUUGCAUUGGUGUUAUUCUUAUUUGCCACUGGCUAACCCAACUUGUUUCUCAAAACAAGUUAAAGAAUCACUGCUCAAGCCAACUUGCUCCACCAGAGCUGUCUUUUUGCUAAUUUGGCUGGAAGAAAAGCACUCUGCAGCGGGAGAAGAUUCAGACUGAGAUGGUUUCCCUUUUCAUCAGCUGAUGUUACAGCGUUCCAGGCUUUUAGUGUGCCUCCUUGUUUCUGUUGCUCCUCGAUGAUCUUCCAUUUCAUUUCAGUCUGAUGUUACAGCGUUCCUGGCUGAUGUUUCAUCCAUUUCAUUUCCUUCAGGAAGAAAAGCACUCUGCGGGGGGAGAGGAUUCAGACUGAGACGGUUUCCCUUUUCAUUGGCUGAUGUUAUAGCGUUCCAGGCUUCUAGUGUGCCUCCUUGUUUCUGCUGCUCCUCGAUGAUCUUCUGAAAGUAUUUCCCCUGAGUUUCAAUUCUCAUUUGUAACUGUUUUUGCACCUACAACAAGUGAAACUAAGUUGGUUACUGUUUUGUUUAACAUGAAGCAAGCAAAAUGUCUUGAAAACAA